GAAAAUACGAAAAUGUAUAAGGUGAGGAGUAGCUUCGACAUGAUGUAAAAAAUCAUAAUGCGUGGACUUGUGUUGGGACAAAGUACUGUUGUUCAAAUCAAUAUUAAAAUUAUUUCCUAGCAAGCUUAAAUCAAGAUAGAUAGGUCCAUAUGCAAUAAAUCAGGUAACUCCUCAUGGAACAAUAGAGUUGAUCGGAAAAGGGGGACAACCUCUUCUUGUUAAUGGCCAAAGA
Molecule: long non-coding RNA, 232 nt
Filed under: Gossypium barbadense (sea-island cotton)
Lineage: Eukaryota; Viridiplantae; Streptophyta; Magnoliopsida; Malvales; Malvaceae
Description: long non-coding RNA (GBAR_LNC018015)
Source: RNAcentral